RNAcentral lists this ribosomal RNA (108 nucleotides) under Hydrilla verticillata (hydrilla). RNAcentral's name for it is "5.8S ribosomal RNA". It matches the Rfam family "5.8S ribosomal RNA", at positions 36 to 141 of the family's 154-position model. From Rfam's summary of the family: 5.8S ribosomal RNA (5.8S rRNA) is a component of the large subunit of the eukaryotic ribosome. The record is from RNAcentral. Lineage: Eukaryota; Viridiplantae; Streptophyta; Magnoliopsida; Alismatales; Hydrocharitaceae.
AUGAAGAACGUAGCGAAAUGCGAUAUAUGGUGUGAAUUGCAGAAUCCCGUGAACCAUCGAGUCUUUGAACGCAAGUUGCGCCUGAGGUCGUGAGGCCGAGGGCACGCC